Molecule: long non-coding RNA, 372 nt
Filed under: Carica papaya (papaya)
Lineage: Eukaryota; Viridiplantae; Streptophyta; Magnoliopsida; Brassicales; Caricaceae
Description: long non-coding RNA (CPAP_LNC005991)
Source: RNAcentral
UUUUCAAGGAAGUUGUUGAUCAAGGUAUGGUAUUAGAUAUUAGACAAUUAAUACAUCAUAGCUUUAACAACGCCGUGUGUUGGUCGCAGUCAGAGUUUCUUUGUUGCCCGGUUAUAUUGCUAGUAGUUGGUGGUUACUGCAGGUAUUUGGGAUUCCUUAGGGGAAUCCUGCUGGAUAUUUGGCUUGAAGUUGUGGGAUUAUCACCAUGCUUGUGAGUAAGUACUAGCUCUAUUCACGUUCAUGAUGACUUUAAUGGGGAUUUAUCGAAGUGAAUGUUUGAAUAAAUCUGCUGUUUCCCAUCAGAAAUUGAGUGCUUGCCAAAUUAAUCAGAAUUUGCGUGCUUCCCAAGUGAAGCUGAUGAAAAAGGAAAGC